Molecule: long non-coding RNA, 4393 nt
Organism: Oncorhynchus tshawytscha (Chinook salmon)
Lineage: Eukaryota; Metazoa; Chordata; Actinopteri; Salmoniformes; Salmonidae
Source: Ensembl
GGAGAAAUAACACUGGGUUACUCAAAUGAGAGACUGGAAACAUAACAUUCAAUUAAAUAACUUUAUUGAAACAAAUUAAUGAAUAAGUUAGUCAAAUUAGUUCUCAACAAGUAGUAAGCUUUUUAUCGUUUCACUUUUAGAAACCAAAUCAGGUGUGAAUUAGUAAAUAAAAACUCUAAAAAUCAUCAUUAUUCCAUUGGUAACUUCAUCAAUCAUUGAAAUUGCAUGGAAGACAUUUUGUUAGCAUUAUUUUAUUGCUUCGACGUUGUGUUAAUGUCCUUAUAACAAUGUUUCCUUUCAUUAGAGGGAUUUAAAGAAGUGAGGGAGGAUGGAUGGAAUGUUGUAAUGGCAGCAAGUCAGAGGGCCCGUCCCAAAUGGCAUCCUAUUCCCUAUAUAGUGCACUACUUUUGAGCAGGGCCCAUCAGGCUCUGGGUCAACAGUAGUGCACCACAAGGAAUAGGGUGCCAUUUGGGAUGAAGGCAGAGUGAGUGGUGUGAUGGAAUCGGUAAAGGUACAGAAAGAGAAGUACAUGCAGGAGAAGACUUGAGAUUGGAUCAUGCAUAGCAUUCGUGUCGAUUAGAAUAUCAGAGAUGUGCGGAUCUCAGUUCCUAUAGAUGCUAACGCCCCGUUAGAGGUGGCCAGGGCUCUGAGGUAGUUGUGUGGAAGCCAUAUGAUCUACGUGACCAUGCGUAUGAAGGGACAGUAAUGUCACUGUGUGACGCUCAAGGUCAUGCCUCCUGUCACAGUUUAAAAUUGGACAGAAUUUAAAUACAUAAGAGUUGCAAUGGUUACAUUUUAAAAAAUGUGCAAUUGACACGUUCAUCCCAGUCUUGUGGGACAAAUAACAUGUUGCUGUGUAAUAAAGGGACUGAGAUCACAAAGGAAAAUAUACAUUCCCUCAAACCAGUAGUUAUAUUUGUGUGAUGUAAUAUGUAGCACAUGGUUCUGUAAUCUAGCCACUCAACACCAUUGGCAGGAAGACCCAGAGGACCCCAUUCAUGUCACUCAGAGAAGAAAAUAUAAAGAUAUUCAACUCCAGAGACUAACACAUUUCAUGCGACACAACGGUUUAAUAUAGAUUCAUGUGUACUGUGUUGCUCAGAAUGAACAAUGAAUUGGUUGGACUUUCAAUCUGAUGUCAUUUGGGUUGUAGUUUAGGACAAUAAGAAAAAUCUAUUUACCAUCCAACAAUACAGUGCCUUAAUGAACGUGUUGUUGCCAACGUACUGUAACAAAAGCACCUGAUUGUGCCAUUGAGUUAAAACUCCCAAGAGUAAAAUGUUUCUCAGAAUCUCCAGUCGCUUUGAAUGGAACAUUUAUGCACCUGAAUCAACUAACUGCUGGCUUGAUUGAACCAAAUUAACUUGUCCAAGCCUCUCAUGGGGCCAUAGACUUUCUUGCACUGGCUGAAAACAGAACUGUGAUUCUGAGAAAAAUAAAAUGUCCUCCAUUGUUAGGGCAGGAUGCAAUUAUGGAUAACGACAGUCAAAUCAAUAGUUGAGCUCUGGGAAUUGUUGUAUAACGUGUGUGUGUGUGUGAGUGAGUGAGUGAGUGAGUGAGUGAGUGAGUGAGAGAGAGAGAGAGAGAGAGAGAGAGAGAGAGAGAGAGAGAGAGAGAGAGAGAGCGAGAGAGAGAGACAUUCUCUAACUGGGAACAGUCACAUGUGUCUUUGAUUAGACAAAAAUGCUACAUUUAUUUGAAGAUUUUAAAGAUAUCAUAUCACAAACAAUGGGACACAAAUAGUGACUGAAAUCUUACAUUCACUUUAAACAAUCAAAAGCAUUAAAAAAACACAAUCAUAGAAAUGUGACAUGUUCUUCUAGCUCUCAGAGGAGAAACAGUGGAGGUAUGAACAAAUAAGAUAAAAAAAUCAACACAACUUGAAACAAAUGGCAGACAAAAAACAUCGAAAUAGGACACCUUUUCUGAUUAGGUUUAUUUCUGGAUCCUCUUCAGGUGCCAUAGUGUCCACUACAGUGUUCUCCAGUUCUGUCCAUUAGAAACACAUUCCAUACAGUAUCUCUAUGAGCGAACCAUUGUUUAGGGUCAGUAAACCAUAAACAUAUGGCUAAAGUGGACAAGCUAUUCUAGAUAACGCAAGAGGGGCUUCUGCAUUGAAUUCUGUCAGGGUAAGAGGGGAAUUCUGUCAGGGUUAGAGGUGAAAUCUGUCAGGGUUAGAGGUGAAUUCUGCCAGGGUAAGAGGUGAAAUCUGUCAGGGUUAGAGGUGAAAUCUGUCAGGGUUAGUGGUGAAAUCUGUCAGGGUUAGAGGUGAAUUCUGUCAGGGUUAGAGGUGAAUUCUACCAGGGUUAGAGGUGAAUUCUGCCAGGGUAAGAGGUGAAUUCUGCCAGGGUUAGAGGUGAAAUCUGUCAGGGUUAGUGGUGAAAUCUGUCAGGGUUAGAGGUGAAUUCUGCCAGGGUUAGAGGUGAAUUAAGCCAGGGUUAGUGGUGAAUUAAGCCAGGGUUAGUGGUGAAAUCUGUCAGGGUUAGAGGUGAAUUCUGCCAGGGUUAGAGGUGAAUUCUGACAGGGUUAGAGGUGAAUUCUGUCAGGGAUAGAGGUGAAAUCUGUCAGGGUUAGAGGUGAAUUCUGCCAGGGUUAGAGGUGAAUUCUGCCAGGGUUAGAGGUGAAUUCUGCCAGGGUUAGAGGUGAAUUCUGUCAGGGUUAGAGGCAGUAAAGGAGUCAUUAUAAGACCGAACUGUUGGCUAAGAUGCAUGCAUAUAUAAGCGAGGCUACAGUACCAGAGAUCAUGCUUCUGACAUGGAUGGAUGCCUCCCAGGCAUUAUCUUAUCAGCCACCACCUGACCGUGCCAUUAAGCAUUCACAUGACUGGCUAUAGAACAACAACAGUAGAAGUUGAGAAGGUGCCUGUGUCGGGGUGAACCAACUAGAAAAUAGUUCUCUCUUUAUCUCCAAUGAGAGAAACUAAGGCUCUGGUCCAACAUCCAGACUAGCACACUGCUUUGAAGCUAUUAUAGUUGGUGUAUGCCUUAGCACGCUAGUGUCGAUGUUUGGAACAUAGCUGAUGUAGUUGAUUGGUUUGGAAUACACCUCAUCAUAGACAUGAGCUGAAUGGCCCACCUAAACCACCUAGCCCACACAGGAGUGAGAUACUGCGCAACAAAGACUGAUGAGUAUUGAUACAGAGAGAGGGACACAACCCUCUAAAAUCUGACCAGGGAUCAGUGUUGUCUUACCCUUUGGUCUGGUCUGAGGAGCAUGCAUGCCUGAGGGGUGGGCUUCAAGGGAGAGGUUUUUAAAGGGAUCAACAGGUAGAAAACAUACAAUAUCCCUGUUAACCUGACCCUGUGUGAAGAAGUGUAUAAAGUAUCUUGCGAAUGCCAUGAGGGAAUGCUAGAGAGAGAGAACGAGAGAGUGCCCAUUCCAGAACUCAGAUUGUGAAAAUAAAGAGCCUUCCUUCUUGUCAGUCUGUUUCUCCCUAUCAUACAAGACCAUAUUGACUUUAUUAAAGAAAGAGUGACUUCCUUUUCUUUCUUGUAAAGUGGGCUUAUUGCAGAGAGAAUCAUGAAUCAGGGGAAUGUGGUAGAGUGGCAUGGAUGUACUUCAAUGAAGGAUGAAAUAAGUGUCACAUACAUGUGAAGCCUGAGUUCUUCUCUUGUCGUAACCUAGUCAGUCACUUUCUUUUCAGGAGAACAUACUGUGAAUGAAAACGAGGGAAGAACGAGUACCAUGUAACAACCUGGACAAGAGGGCAAAGUGAGAGAGCUGAUGUUUUGGUGAAACGUUUGUAGGUUUUUCCAUCCAUGUCAAGUCAUCCAUUUUGGGAUCUGGGUAGCCCCACAGGAGUAGAGGUGGACAUGAAGUCUUUGCAGUGCCUCGGAAAGAGGGUUGAGUUGAGCUGUGGUCAGUAUGGUGGGGACGUGAGGUGAGGAGGGGACAGCAAAGACCCCGGGCACACAGUACAUUCAUCAGAAGCUCAGAGACAGUCUCCCAUAGCAUCAGAUGAGAGCCUGACAAACAAGAACUGAAAUUACCCUGAAACAAAAGUCCUGAAUGUUGGAGAGCUGCAGCAGUUCUUCACUCAUUCAUCUGGAAGUUUACUGAUUACAAACAAAUAAACAAAUAAAGCAGGAGAAUAAAUAAAUAUUACUGAUACCAGAACACAGAAUCUGGUAAAAAAUGUACAAAAAACCCAACUUUGUUAAAAGUUCAUAUCUAUACUUGCAGGUUUAGGAACAUGCAUAGAUAGAUACAAUAUGUUUAACGUUGUUGUUGAGUGAAACUGGUUUGGUUUUGUUGUCAAGUAGUAGUCAUACGCUCUCAUUUCUUCUUCUUUUACCACGGAGGAACUGAGACAGAGAGGAACUGAGACAGAGAGGAACUGAGACAGAGAGGAACUGAGACAGAGAGGAACUGAGACAGAGAGGAACUGAGACAG